Molecule: non-coding RNA, 72 nt
Organism: Ictidomys tridecemlineatus (thirteen-lined ground squirrel)
Lineage: Eukaryota; Metazoa; Chordata; Mammalia; Rodentia; Sciuridae
Source: Rfam
GGAGGUAUAGCUCAGUGACAGAGCACUUGCUUAGCAUGUAUGAGGGCCUGGGUUUGAUCCCCAGUGUGACCC